Molecule: long non-coding RNA, 216 nt
Organism: Penaeus monodon (black tiger shrimp)
Lineage: Eukaryota; Metazoa; Arthropoda; Malacostraca; Decapoda; Penaeidae
Exons: 2
Source: RefSeq, a predicted model, not a curated record
CCAACGCAUGAUGACGACCCCAAGACAACGACUCACGACUCACGACUAAAAGGAACUCAAAGAGGAUUGAGAUAGGUUAGAAAAAAAAAGGAAUAAAGGAUAAUGAAAUAAUAAAUACGUUAAGUUAGAAAAUUUGUUAGGAAUUCAGGAAUAUUUUAAUUCAGGUUAAGUAAAAAAAGAAAUUACUUACGAAUAAAUUAAUAAGAAAGAAAGAAA